RNAcentral lists this long non-coding RNA (1874 nucleotides) under Homo sapiens (human). RNAcentral describes it as "long non-coding RNA NONHSAT212894.1". The record is from RNAcentral. Lineage: Eukaryota; Metazoa; Chordata; Mammalia; Primates; Hominidae.
GGAGGAUUUUUAAAAUAUGCCAGAGCUGGCUGGGUACAGUGGCUCACACCUGUAACCUGAGGACUUUGAGGUGGAGACGGGCAGACCACCUGAGCUCAGGAGCUCAAGACCAGCCUGGGCAACAUGGCAAAACCCUGUCUCUACUAACACUAUAAAAAGUUAGCUGGGCGUGUUGGUGCAUGCUGUAGUCCCAGCUACUCAGGAGGCUGAGCCACGAGAAUCGCUUGAACCUGGGAGAUGGAGGUUGAAGUGAGCCAAGAUCGCACCAUUGCACUCCAGCCUGGGGAAAAAAAAAAGCCAGGCCUCCUAAUGUACUCAUUUAAACAUCACUUGUGUCCACCUGGGUUCAGAAUUGCGCUGGACAUGGGAUACACAAAGGGGGAGUGGAAUUUUCAGGAAGCAGCUGUGCUGUGGGUGACGGUCAUACUUUAUUCUCUAAAACUCUCCAGUUUCAAUUGGCCUCUUGGUGCCAAAGCACCAUGGCGUGUUACACCUAUCAGAUCGGGCACACUGCCCCUUCUUCCCAACCUACGAGCUGAAAUGGCCAGCACUGCGCCUUCCAGAACCCAGCGUAGAUGCACAGCUGCCACGGAGGUAGGAAGAAUGAUUCGUUUGCCACCAAAAGCCCAGUUUCUCCAACAGGUAAGUCCUGAAUCCCUAGGCCAGCCCGGCCCCUUCCCACACACCCCUACCCCGAGACGGGUGCAGAAUCAGCAGCGGGGAUCAUCCAGAGACUCUCGCAGUCCACGGCAGGUGUCGGAGUGGGCCUCAUUCCAGAGUUGUGGUGGCCGCUCCACCUGGCGAGCUUCGAGGGGACUCCGGCAGGCGCUCGCUGUGGGGUCCUCCCACCAGUCUUCUCAGCACAGGAACGGUGCCUUCACAUUGGUCUUCCGGGGCUUAAAAGCAUAUCAUUCCUGCUUGCUCUUCAGAUGCAAACUCCCCCUCCAAGGAUACCUCCAGGUUCCCUGCCAGCUCACUUGACUCACAUGGCAAUGGUCACCGGGCUGCCUGAGCCCAAAUCAAGCACCGUUUAUUAGGGGGAAGCUCCGUUAUCCAGAAAGCUCAUCUUUGAAGAGCUACCCAUUUCCUGCCAAAGUUGUGGCGGGAAGGCCUUAGGUACUAGAAAACCUUGGGGAAUGGCAAUUAAAGGAUUAUCAUUCUUACUUAUUUGUUUGGAUAAGCAGCAAUCACCCUUCGGAUGCUUAUUGGUGAGAAUAUUUCUAAAAGUGUCCUGCACAUUUCCCUGCUUUGAUGAAUGGAACGGCAGGGCAGGAUUUAACUGUCUGAUGGCUACGGUUUUGGGAAAGUGCCAGAACCUCCACGUCAGCCACCCCAGAGCCACAGGCAGGGUAUGAGCCACAGCAAUGGGCCCCAAGAAAGAGCCCCACACCCACCAUGGUCCACGGAAGACGCUGCUUACUGGCCCCGGGUUACCUGGAGUCAUGUGCAUUCUCCUUACAUCAAGUGAAGAUAAUAUUUUGUUUCCUUCCCACUUUUUCUCUAACACAAGCCACCCCAGUUCUCCCUUCUGACAACAGGCAAGUGGACCCUAGUAGACCUUCCAGAAAAGCCUUAGAGAGCACCCCCAAAUGCUCACAUUUGUCAGCUGUAAUUCCACCCUCAGUUAAAACCUGAUUCUCAAUGUGACUUGGCCAACGCAGCUUGCAAAGCAAGAACGUCUUCAUCUAAGGUUGAAAACAUCAGUUGUUUGGGUUGUGAGAAAAGAAAAGCCCACAAGGUUUCCGAGGCUUGGUGCUGUUUCUCACUGUCCUCAGCUCCUGAUUCUGCAGCUGGUUCUCUCUCCAAGCACUAGCAAAACCCUGCCCUAGGAGCCCCCAGACUCUGAGAGCCCAUGACCAAAAAGAAAAGGAAAG